Molecule: ribosomal RNA, 490 nt
Filed under: uncultured bacterium
Lineage: Bacteria
Description: partial 16S ribosomal RNA
Rfam family: Bacterial small subunit ribosomal RNA
Source: RNAcentral
AUUGAACGCUGGCGGCAUGCUUUACACAUGCAAGUCGGACGGCAGCACAGAGAAGCUUGCUUCUUGGGUGGCGAGUGGCGAACGGGUGAGUAAUAUAUCGGAACGUACCGAGUAAUGGGGGAUAACUAAUCGAAAGAUUAGCUAAUACCGCAUAUUCUCUGAGGAGGAAAGCAGGGGACCUUCGGGCCUUGCGUUAUUCGAGCGGCCGAUAUCUGAUUAGCUAGUUGGUGGGGUAAAGGCCUACCAAGGCGACGAUCAGUAGCGGGUCUGAGAGGAUGAUCCGCCACACUGGGACUGAGACACGGCCCAGACUCCUACGGGAGGCAGCAGUGGGGAAUUUUGGACAAUGGGCGCAAGCCUGAUCCAGCCAUGCCGCGUGUCUGAAGAAGGCCUUCGGGUUGGAAAGGACUUUUGUCAGGGAAGAAAAGGCUGUUGCUAAUACCGACAGCUGAUGACGGUACCUGAAGAAUAAGCACCGGCUAACUACGUG